GAUAUGAACCGUUAUAACCGGCGAUACCCGAAUGGGGAAACCCAGUGUGAUUCGUCACACUAUCAUUAACUGAAUCCAUAGGUUAAUGAGGCGAACCGGGGGAACUGAAACAUCUAAGUACCCCGAGGAAAAGAAAUCAACCGAGAUUCCCCCAGUAGCGGCGAGCGAACGGGGAGGAGCCCAGAGCCUGAAUCAGCAUGUGUGUUAGUGGAAGCGUCUGGAAAGGCGCGCGAUACAGGGUGACAGCCCCGUACACAAAAGCGCAUGUGCUGUGAGCUCGAUGAGUAGGGCGGGACACGUGGUAUCCUGUCUGAAUAUGGGGGGACCAUCCUCCAAGGCUAAAUACUCCUGACUGACCGAUAGUGAACCAGUACCGUGAGGGAAAGGCGAAAAGAACCCCGGCGAGGGGAGUGAAAAAGAACCUGAAACCGUGU
RNAcentral lists this ribosomal RNA (434 nucleotides) under Salmonella enterica. RNAcentral's name for it is "partial 23S ribosomal RNA". It matches the Rfam family "Bacterial large subunit ribosomal RNA", at positions 87 to 561 of the family's 2925-position model. The record is from RNAcentral. Lineage: Bacteria; Pseudomonadati; Pseudomonadota; Gammaproteobacteria; Enterobacterales; Enterobacteriaceae.